AUAGUAGGUGCUGAUACUUUAAUAAAUUAUUCAAAAUCAUUUAAUCUUUCUCAAAUCUUUUCUUAAAUCAAUUUCAAUUUCGUAAAUCAAUUCUCAAAUCAAUUUCUCAAAAUAUCAUAAACUCAUUUAAUUCAAAUUGAAUAACUGCAAUAAUAAAUCUGCAUAAAAUCGAUGGAAUCACCAUACUCAUAUUAAAUACUGAAUACUAAAAACUGUCAUCAAACAAGUACCCAGGGGAUAAUCUGAUCAUAUCCGGGCUACAACGGCCAGGCAAUAACGCACUAUCUGGGUAACGUCACGCCCCGGAGCCACAACGGAUAGAUGGGGACGAUCUCAUCUCAUAUCUCAUAUCUCUUAUCUCAUAUAUCUGUACUGUGCAUGCAUAAGCCCCCAAAAGGCAAAAGCGCCCGAACACACGGCCCAAAGCCUCUAUGUGUGUCCCGACGGGCCCCAAAGGCCUCUAUCUCAUCUUAUCUGUAUCUCUUAUCUGUAUCUCUUUUUAUCUGUAUCUCUGUAUCUGGAGGGAAGGGUACUGUCUAAUGAUUUCAAAACUGAUAGUAAACAUAUGAUCCCAUCUGAAAUCUCAUUUUCUUUCUAUUCAACAUAUCUCAAGUCUGCUCAAUUCUAAUAUCAUGCUUUUACUCAAAAACGCUAAUAAAAUCAUAAAUCGAACUCAUUCUCAAUCAUAAUAAAUAUCAACACAUAAAUAAAAGUCAAUUCGCUGGAAAAUCAUUAAAUCAACGCAUUAAACAUUUAUUUCUCAAACAUACUGUACUAUAUAAGAAAAUCAGCAUAUACUAUGAAAAUAGGUUUUGUAUAUUCCACUCACAGUGAUGAUGUCUAGACUCAGUAUCAACAACGUCCGCGGGUAGAUUCUCGUUCGCGGAUGCGGAUCCUCCUAAUCACGGAAAACACCAUAAUUAUUCUCCGUAAAAACCAAUUAAUAUAAUAAAUCUCGAAACAAAUAUCUAUUAACGAUAAACUAGUCCCGCAUGUAUAAAAUUACCAAAAUGCCCCUAUAGGCCAAAAUUACCAAAAUACCCCAACAUCAAUAUUUUACCAACUUAUCCUCAAACUUCAUGAUUUUACCAAAUUAUCCUCAUAUUCGUUAAUACCCAUAUUGUCCUCAAUUCAGAUUACAUAAAUUAAUCACAUUGUCGGAAAUUACAAAAUUACCCUCAGGGCAUAAAAUUACCGAAAUGUCCACUGAUUACAUAAAAUUACAAAUUCACCCCAAAGUUUCAUGAAUUUACCGAAUUGCCCCUGCCGGUCAACGGUGACCGGACUUCAGUCAACGAUGACGGGGAGCUUAGGUCUGCUAGUUCCGGCCUCGAUGAAUCCAACGGUGGUGGCAGUGAGUCGCCACGCGCGCUACCGGCGGCGGAUCGAAGUUCCAAAGUUCCGCAAAUUUUCGGAGAUCAUUCGGCGAGUUCCGGGCGUCCCCGGCGGUCGUUGCUGGUCGGGAAAUGUUGCUGGGGAUGUGAGGAACCAGUUCCAAGUGGUGGCGCGUCACAACUCCGGCGGGAUCAACGGCAACGAAAACGGGUCGAAGCCGCGACUUUUCGAGCUCGAUCACCGGCGUUCUGGCCAGUUUCCGGCGACGAUAACAGCAGGGAUACGAUGGUCUGCUUCCAAGCUUCAGAUCGGUACCAAGCACGGCCGGUAAAGUGGCUGGAGUUGGGAGAAAUCGUCGGGUCAAUCCGCGGGUUACUGGGUCGGGUUCUCGGGUCAACGGGUCUGACUUCUCUCUCUAUCUUUCUCUCUCUUCUCGGGUUCUUUCUCUCUAAAAUGGAAAACCCGUUUCCCUCUUUCCAGUUAUACAAUUCUGCCCCUCUUUUUUUUUUUUUUUUUUUUUUUUUAAGCUUAAUACAAAUUAAGCGAAUUUCAGACCCGUUACGAAAAUAAAAUCCGACCAUCGGCGCGUAUAAUCGAGCUCAAUUUAUCCCAAUUAAACUAUAGUGACGAAAUUAAAAAUUAAUAGAGAAGAGGAAAAUAAAAAUCAGCACUUUAUUAAGAAAGUCCAAGUGCGUAUAUUACAAUAAUAUCAUAUGAAACAGAAAUCAAUGAUUGCCUUCUAUCUAUAAUGUUCUUCAAUUACAAAUGAACAACAUUAAUUCAUUAAUCUUGCAUUUAGUCAUAAUCAAAUGGGAAUUAGAUUGAUGGGUGGGGCACACUUGAGCUAUUUGAAUUUCUUCUGCACUAUUUCAUUUAAAAACAUGUAUUUAUAAGCAAUAUUUUAAAAUUUUAAAAUCUUAAAAUUAACUCAAUUAUGUCAUUCUCUAAUUUACGGUUGCAUUUUCUCCCUCAAAAUUGUCAGAUCCUACAAACUAAAUUUUCACUUUCACUCAAUGUUGGACAUUGAUUCUUAAUCUUUUUUAGUAAAUCAUAAUUACAUCUUCAGUUUGUUCCAAGGUUUUUAGUAAAUCUAAUUAUAUAUUACUUUUUCAUUUCAAAGAUAUCGAAGUAAAAAAAAUAAAAAAAAGAUAUCAAGGCAAAAAUAUUUUUUUAUGGUAAAAACACUUGAAACUUUCAAUUUGUGAUGGCCUAUGUAGAAUAUGUGGAUCUGGAUUUGCCCAUUUAUGAGAGACAAGCAUUAACAUUCGCUUGUAGGGGUGGCAAAACGAAAAAUCGAAUCGAAUCGAAUUUUAAACGAAUUGGGUCAAAAUUUUGUGGAUUCGGAUUUGAUUUGUUUAUUAAACGAAUUAAAAUCUCAGGAUUCAAAUUAGAUUCGUUUAUUAAACGAUUAUUUAGUUUAAUUCGUUUAAUAGAUUAAUAAAAGAAUUGAAUCAAAUUCAAAUUCAUUUAUUAUUAAUUUAUCCUAAUAAUAAAUGAAUCCAUAACUAAUCGAAUUGAAUAUGAAUUCGUUUACAAAAAUUAAAUAAAUAAUCCAAACCAUAAAAGUUUUCAUCUUAUUUAUAUAUUGUGUUAUUAUUAUUUAUAAUUACUAGAUUAACCUUCAAAUUUUAAAUUUUUUUUAUAAAUAUUUAAGAAUAAAUAAGUAAUUUAAUUAAACGAAUAAAUUGUAUUCGGUUCGUUUAUAACCCAUUUAUUAAAUGAAUACUAAACGAAUAAACGAAUCAAUGUCUUCAAACCUGAAUUCAAUUCGUUUAAUUAACGAAUCGAACUGAAUUCACCAAUUUAUAAACGAAUCAAAAUUUUCAAACCCAAACGCGUUUAAUUCGCUUCAAAUUGAAUCGAAUAAACGAAUCUUGGUCCAAAUUGCCGCCCCUAGUCGCUUGCAAGAGAACAUUGAAAGAAAAUAUGUUGAGUGGUGAGAAUAUGAUGAAUUGGAAACCGAAAAUAAAGGUUGAUUAGAUAAUUUCAUUUAAAAAAUUCGAUAUCUUUGAGGAUCAGUUUGUUGUGAAUUGGAUGAGAUUAAUAUUCAAGAUUAUGAAUGGAGAAGAUGAUACAAUUUAUCCUUUUAAACAUGCCAUUAGAAAAUUAGUUUUUUUUUUAAAAAUAAAUAAAGUGUAUUUUUUCAUUUUAUUUGGAAGUUUAAAUGAUUGUAGGGUUUUCCAUAUUUUUGCUUUGCUGCUUUUGUGUGAAUACCAUGUAACUCUAUGAGCAACAUUGUUUUAAGGUAGCAUGCUGUAUUUGAUGAGUAUAUCUUGCUAGCUAGUGGUUAUCAGUUCUUUCUGUUAUCUGUUGUUAAGCUUUCACACUAUUUUGUCGGUUGUACAUUCUCAUUUGCAUUUUUGUUUCUUUCUGUGAGUAGUGCACUACAUCUGAUGUGCUAAUGGUCUUUCAACUUGCUUUUGAUUCAAUAAUGGAAGCUUUGGCAUUUAAAUUUCCAUAGUUUCCAUUAGAUUCAGGGGAGCCAUGUCAGAGUUUUGUAAGAGGAGAAAUCUUUAGAUGGCUUUGUGUCAAAAUUUACUUUUAAGGAAUUCUCAUGUUCAUUUAUUCCCAACAUUUUAUGUCCUUCGUCCGUUUGUGUUCAGAGAAAACGUUGAAGGCCUUAAAGGAGAAGGCAAAAGAGCCAGAGGCACCAGAGCCGGAGCCAGAACCUACCACUGAAGUUCUAUUUCUAUGCAGCUAUGAAGGCUGUGGGAAGACAUUUAUUGAUGCUGCCUCUUUGAGAAAGCAUGCUCACAGUCAUGGAGAGAGACAAUAUCAGUGUCACUGGAAAGGUAAGACAUGACGUAUUUAAUGUAGUUUUUAAUAUUUCAUUCAUGAUUUCUUUAGACUGCUUAAAAUCAUGAGAUUCAUCAUACUUCUUGAGGUUUAAAAUAUGAUAAUAGUUUAAAAAAGAAAAGGAAACUAUUAUAUGUAUGCGUAGAGACAAGCUGUUGUGUCUGAUCUUGGACAUACUAUCCAACAUGGCCUCUCUAAAAAUUGUGGGAUGUUGGAUUAAACAAAGUGAGGAAUUUGGGUUUGUGGCCGAGGCCGGGAGUGUUUCUGAGUUGUAAAAAUUUGGGGAACUUCAUGUGUAUGAAAGCAAUUUGCAUCGAUGAUUUGAGUGGGGAAGCAAAGGUACUAUUGAGAAUCAGGUGCUAUCACCAAACAUUUUUUCUUUUGGUGGGUCUUUUUGUGCGGCUAGUUCAAACCCUCUGGUUAAAUAAGAUCUGUCAGUCUGGUUUGGGACUGAAGGUGGUCCAGCCUUGUUCAUGUACAGUCUUUUGUAAACAAUCCUCAAAUUGUUUUCUUGGUAUAUUUAUGUUAUGUUAAAGGCUAAGCCUCAUCACUUUUUUUAUUUCUCUUUUUCUUGAAUUUUUUUUUUAAUUGAUGUCGUUCUUUCAGGCAUAUAAAAAAUGGUUUUUGAAGUAAUUUUGUACUUUUUGAUGCAGAAAUUUUUGGAUAGUUCGAAGUUAAAAGACACUUUCUUAUUCAUACUGGAGAAAGAGAUUACGUAUGUCCUCAUGAAGGCUGUGGUAAGGUGAAGAAUCUAUCCAUCCUAAAGCAUUUUGUCAAAACUUUGCCGAGGCUACCUUAUCUUUUUCUUUUUUCUUAUUGCUGACAUUAUCAUAAGAUAUGAGAAAUAUUAUACAUUUGUUUUCUGCCUGAAACAUUUCUAUUUGAUGAUUGAUUCCAUUGUCUUAUGGUCCCUUGCCCACAAUUUUAAAAUUUUAGGUCAUUUGGUAAAUAAUAUUAAUACCUUGGAUGUUUAAUAAUAUUUUGAAAAGAGAAGUACAGUUUGUUGUACCCUGUGAUUGCUGAGGACAUCAUGGGUUUUAGUAAGCAAGAUUCUGUGAGACGCUUUGAUUGCCAUACAAUAUUAAGUGUCAUGUAUCCAAUCCAGGGGGACCCAAUGAUGUUGAAGUCUCAGGCUGGCACGUGGAGGAUCAUGGAGUUCAGUCUUGAGAAUUGCCACUAUGCAAAAGCCACUUAGGGGUAUUAGUGUAUUUGGAAUCCCCCUAUAACCUUGUUUUAUUUGGACCGACUCUCUGUGAAGACCUCUCCCAUUAUUAUUGAGAAUGAAUGUUCGGUACUUAAUAUCAGGGUUGGUUGUAUUGUAACUUGGAUGGAUCAAAUAUGAGAGACUCAUGUUUUUUCAUCAUCUUGUAAAGGGCAUAGUGCUAAUCUUACCUUGAGGUUGCCGUUUUGGCUUAAGAUGUUACUUUAUUGUACAUUUCUGUAUGUACACGCACUUGUACUUGUACCCAGCAUUUGUGGUGUUCCUAAUUACAAAUAUGAAAUAUGCAGGCGUUCUCUUUGGACUUCAACCUGAGAUCACACAUGAAAACACAUUCACAAGAAAAUUAUCACAUCUGCCCAUACCCAGAUUGUGGAAAGAGAUAUGCUCAUGAGUACAAGUUAAAGAAUCAUAUUGCAUCUCACCACGAAAAGGUUGGUGCUAUUUCCUUGCUGUUACUAUUUUGCAGUACCAACGCCUUUUUAGUAUUUUUCUUUGCUAUUUUAGAUAUUUUUCCUGCUUUUUUUGUUGCAUUUUAAGUUAAUUCCUUUCAUAGAACAUAUCUUAUAUAGUUUAUGACGUGUAAAGCAACAUGACUUCGGUUUCAUCUCAGAUUAUAUUAGUCAUCUGUCAAAAGGAAUUUUACUUAUUUCUUUUCUAAAGAUAUCCUUCAAGUCUGUUAACAAUGGCAACAUAUGAAUGUUUGUGUUCUAGUGGAAUUGUAUUCAUUUCACCUUUAGUAUGGUCAUAGUACAAAUGGUUAUUAUUAUCACUGAAAGAUGUAGUACAGAAACCAUCUGCUAUUUUUCUUAAAACUCUUAAGAUCAUCCCAUGUGUCGCUGGUUGACUUCACUGUAGAUCUAGAAUGGUUAUCAUAAUUAUGUUCUUUUUAUUUUUUUAAUUUUAUUUGAUAUACAUAGGACAUCAAAAUACCAUUCUGCCAACAUGAAUUUCAGAAAUUGAUUGCCAUGAAGCAAAGAUCGUCUGUAUAUAUUUUUUCUCUCAAAACUCGUAUAUCAUAUCUGAUUCUUAGUUUCGAGAUUUGAUUUCUCAGAAUGCUGCAGUGGAGGUGCCCAGAUACGCUACUCCUCCCGAGAGGAUAACAAAAACUCCCAAGCCACCUGCUGGGGUUUAUGGUUCUGCAUCAUCUGAACGUCCUUAUGCAUGUCCUUAUGAAGGGUGUGAAAAGGCAUAUAUCCAUGAAUACAAGCUUAAACUCCAUCUGAAGCGGGAGCAUCCUGGCCAUAUGUCUGAUGAAAAUGCCGAGAAUGCCACAACUAAUGCUAAUAAUGAGAUGGAUGAAGGCAGUGACCAAGAUGCCUAUGCUGGAAAACGUGUUAAUGGUAAAAGUCAAAAACAAAGCCGGGCGAAGCCAAACUUGAAGAUGCCUCCUGCAAAAGUAACGCAACGCAAAAGCUCAACUCCAUCUCCUGCCACCUUGAAUGUAGUGAGAAAGCAACAAUGGACUCCUAAAGAAGAAGUUUACGAGGAAGAAGAUAGUGAAGAAACUGAGGAAGAUCGUGACAAUGUUGAGGAUGGAUUUAGGUACGGGGAAAAUAAUGAAGAUGAUGAUGAGGAGACUGAGUACGAAGACUGAAGCAUAUAAAAAUGUUUCCUUCACCCUUCUGAUAAGGGCACCUUGUAUGUAUCUAACCCUUACAAACAGGUUCUCUGUCAUCUUUUAUCUGCUUGCUUUCAGCAUCUUUUUUUCUCUCAUUGCAGCAUAUAAAUAAAGUUAAAAAUUUUUAAUUUUAAAAUAUUGGUGAUUCGCUAAAGAAUUUCAUAUGACGAAUUUGUGAAUUUUUCAUCUUGGGAUAAACACAAAGCUGAUGCAAUCAACUCAUCAUGCCAAAAUUUAUGCACCUGAGCCGCAUAAGAGACUUGACUGGUAAGCUUGACAAAAUUUCAAUCGUUAUAUCAUCAGAACAUAAAUGAUUUGAAAGAGAGGGGAGACCACAACAUGAAUAAGUUAAUUAGUUAGUGUCAUAAAGAGGGAAUUGGAUUCAUUAAUUGUUGACUUUUGUGCUGGCUCUAACAAAGCUUUGAUCAUAAAUUGGCAAUCCAUUUGGAAAUAACAUCAAUCACCCACUUGUAAUUUCCCAGGCAUGUAGAGCGUAAACCAUUUUACCAGGCAAUGCAUGUAGAACUUAAAUCUAAGAUAUGCCAUGAAAAUUGGAAAAAUUAGGAUAAUUUAUCUUCUCUCUUUUUAAUAUUCCUUUAUUUGAAAAAAAAAAUUGGAUAGGGAUAGAAAUUUCACCCACUACACACUAAUCCUUGAUCCCAAAUCUACUUGUAUUAAUGUUUAUAAUUAAUUUCUUCUAUUUACUACUAGUUAAUAAGGCCACAUAGGUAAGUGCUAUAAGAUUUCGUGCAUUGGAACCCAUGGUUAUGGACCUGAAUCCAUUAGUAUGGAUCAUUUUCUUUUCCAAUUGAAAUCCAUUAGUAUAUGGAAGAGUGAAAAAGUACUUUCGUUGUUAUGGAAUAAGAAGUCUUCGUAGCUUAAUGCAUGUAUUUAAUGUAUUCGGGACUAUUAGAACUUAUUACUCAAACUUAAGUUAUUGUAAUUGCAAUAAAUAUUCAUGGCUGGUUGAGCUACACCCAAGAGGCUCUUUAUCCUCUCAUUAUAUUGUCAUUAGACUCUCUUUGUAAAUAAAAACAUCAUCCGGAUCGGUAAUUUAGAGAUCCCUAAUUUCUUAUGUAUGAAUUCAACAUAUAUAGAUUUUUAAAUAAAUGCGCCAUUCUUCCACAAUCCAUAAUGUCUAGGAAUACUGAAGAAAGGUCCAAUACUAAAUAGCGAUCCAUUUGACGAUCACAUAUUUCUUCAACUAUUUCUUCUGGAUGUGUACACUUGAUCAUUCGACAGCUUACCGUACUUUCUCAUCCCACGAGUCAUCAUUCGACAGCUUACCGUACUUUCUCAUCCCACGAGUCUUGUACCAAUAAUCAACUUAAAAGAACCACUCGGCUCAGCCUGAGUGGCCAGGGCUGCUGCCCUCCAACUUGGAGGACAGUAGUUCGAACCCCAACAAAAGCAUUGUGGGGGUAUUUCUUUCCUCAAUUAAUUGAGUGAAGGCAGUCUUCUCCCUUACCCAUGAGUGAGGAGUAGACAUCCCUUGAAUAUUUGUGAGGGUUAAAAUCUGGGCAGAGCUCCAUUAACAUUGAUGUAAGUUGGUCUUAGUAAUAGUCUGAUUUGUAAAUAUCAAUUAUAGUCUCAUGUAAUGAGUUGUAAUCUGAGCAAUAGUCUCAUGUAAUAAAAAAAAAUAAUCAACUUAAAAGUCAUUGUAUAAUAUGCAAAAUAAACCAUCAUAUUAGUCCACGAAAUUGUCAAAACGUCUUAUAAUUUGGCUUUCAAUAUCUUCAUAUGAUAAAUUAACUUGUAAGCGUUUCAUCCUGGAAUAAAUACGAAGCUGAUGCAAUAAUUUCCUUACCAAAUUCCACAGAAUCAACGAAUGCAUUAAUAAAAAGACGAGUUUCAGCAUUGUUGUUCUGGAGAUGUGAGAUUCGAAUCCCCGCAAAUGAGUAGCCUGGGAAUUGGAUUGCCGUUACCUAAAUUAACCCAAAAAAAAAGCUUAAUUUAUUCUUAUUUGAAUUCUUUUUCUAUCAAUUUAAAUCACAUAAGUAGAUAUUUUGACCGAGUGUUUUUCAAUUAAUAUGAUUUGGUUGGCUAUUCGAGUUCGAUUAUAGGAGAGGUAAGGAGCUAAAAUUUUAAUUUGAACUCAGCUACCCCUCUAUCUUUUUAAAAGUACAAAAAUAAAUUUAACAAUCGUUUAAAUUUACAUAAUUUAAUUAUCUUUUGUUUCUUUGCCGUAUCAGCUGCUUAAGCAAGCAUAAGUGCAGGUGGUCAACAGUGAACAGUAACACGGUUUGCACACGGCGAAUAGUAACACGGUUUGAACAGUAACGGUUUGAAUAGUAAUAGUUUGAACAAUAAUGUAGUUUAAACAGUAACACAAUUUAAACAGUGUUAUACGUUUGGUUAUAAAUAGAGAGGAGAGGUUAGAGCUUGAAUCAUCCCAAUUUUGAGAGAAAUUGCAAGUGAAGCAAUUUGAGAGUUUUGAGAAAGCUUUUACUUGAGUGUCAGGAGGAUUCAAUUAGGUGUAUUGAGAUUGUGGGUAUUGAGAGUUUUUUUCCACUUUCGUAAAAUUCCAUUAUUAGUCAAAUUAUCUUCCGGUCUUUGUCCGUGGAUAUAGGGAUUACGCCGAACCACAUAAAUUAUUGUGUCAUUUUCUUUGCAUUUGUUUACAUAACAUUUAUAUUUCUCUAGAAAUUAGAGUCUCCGUAAUAUUGGUAAUUGCUCAACCCUGCACUUCUGCAACAAGUCAAACAUUCAUAGAAAUAAAAUAUUAAAUUAAAAUGAGGGAAAAAAAAAUUACAGUGAUUUAUUCUUGUUAUUUCAUCAUCCAUCCAACCGUGGACAACUCAAGGACUCGGCAACAAAGCUGUUGUAUUACCUACGGUCUACCCAAGAAGAAAGCCCUCGUUUAGCGAAUGAGACUAUUUAAUCCACCAAAUUAAGUAGUCUUCAAACUUAAUUUCUCAAGAGGGGGAAAAAAAACCUAUUAGUCAAGCGGGGAUCAAGGAUCCUCAUCCCACCCUGAAUUAAUUAUGAUGGGAUACGUACGAGGACGCCGAUUCUGGACACCUCGCAUGUCUUUCACCUCUUCCUCGUAUUCUCCAUAAUUUACUUGAUUGAAAGUUUUAAAUUUCCAUUUCGAUUGGCUUUUCAGUCUCGUUAGGACAUAUUGUUCGAUCCAGCAAUGCUACGGAACCUACUCAAUAUUUUGAUCGCACCGAUACGUGGUUGAUCGUGAUCCGGCCUGUUCCCUCGCAUUGCAACAAAAUUAAACUUGUAGCGUCAGAAUCAACGCAUAGAAUGACCUCCAUUAGCAGAUAAUCAUUCAAGCAUUUAAGAAUUGGCCUAGUGCCGUCUCUGGCAUUUAAGAAUCAACGCAUACUUGAAUCGAUGAACAUGACACAAUAGUGAUAAAACAACUGUAAAAUAAUAAUAUGGUGUAAUAAUGUUAAGUAAGAAAUUAGGAAUUUUUUUUUCUUGAACAACACUAUAACGGAACAGGAUCUUCUUUUGAUUUGAGCAUUACUGAGCUUUUAAUAAUCUUUUGUCAUAUGUCUUUUAGUAGUAAUAUAUGGGUAACAUUUAACUUCUUUUACUUUUUUAUUUAUUAACAAACAAUCAAUAAUUGAUUUAUUUGCUCAGGACAUGAUCAGAUCAGGAGAGAAUCCUGAUCCCACUAUAACACCCUACAUUUUCACAAUCAUUUUGUCGCUGUUUUGUCACUGUUAGGACAAUUCUUCAUUUUUCCUGGCGUUUAUUGCUCAGUAUUUUCUUUACUGUGUGAUUGUUUCCAUCUGAAUUAUUCCUUUAUUUCGUAAUGCAGCCUAUAAGUUCAAAGCUUUAACCAGGGUGAUAUAUGCUUGGAAAUAUUCCUCGCGUGGUAGGUUAUGUUGGCCUCUACCAUGUUUUCUGCCACCUUAUGCCUCAAAAAAUAUGUAUUUGACCUUCAACAGAGAUUUUGCCAGACCACAUCCAUUUCGUUAACCAAAGAUAUAUUACUGCUUGGCUAGAAAAACAAAUUAAAUAGAGAAAACACAAUUAUAUAAUUAGAACUUAAUUAGAAGGAAGAAAUAAUUAACUAAUUAAUUGUAAUAUAUAUGAAAGAAGAUAAACUAGUAAGUGCUCGUGUCUAUGAUAAGGUGAGUACCUAAACACAUGAUAGAAUAAUUUUAUAACUCUUUGUAAAUUAUGGACUAAUAGGAUUAAGUGAACAGCAUCGCCUACUGAAUUAUUACACACUACAAAAAAUAUGUUUUAACUUUGGAUCCUAAAUUUGGUUAAAGUUCGAAAAAAAAAAUUAAACUGUUUGGUUUAAUAAUGUAAAGAUUAUUAAUGCUAUUAAUCUUUAAGAUCCGAACGACCCAACACAUUGCUACAGAGCCCAAAUAAUAUCUCCAGGGCAACUGGAUAGUGAACUCGGCCGAGCAAUGCACGAAACAAAAUUUCUAGCUUUACCAUCAACACAUAGUGUCACCUCCAUUAGGAGAGACGUGUUCAGGCAUUUAUAAAGUGGCGUAGUGCCGUAUCUGGUGUUUAUCGCUCGAGUAUAUUUCCGUGGAUUGAGUUUGUCUCCAUCUGGAUUUAUGCCUGCACCUCGAAAUGCGGCCUCCAAGUUCGCAGCUUUAACCAGUGUGAUAGCAGUUCGAAAAUAUUCCUCGGGCGGCAGGGUAGGUUGGCCUCUGCCAUGAUGCUUCCACUCCCUCUCCCAAAAUUGUUCAUUUUCAUUUUCAUCUCGGGUAAGACUUGGCCAGAACUUGUUCAUCUCGGCAGCAAAAGAUUUAUUGCUUUCUAGCUACAAAGAAAGAGUAAAAAUUAAUUAAUAAAUGACCGUAGAAUAAUGUAUUGGAAAAACUAUAUAUAUAGCCCAUGGGAGUGAAGCAGGUACCAUGUCUUGUAAAUUAAUAGUUUGAUUAUUGGUAUUUGUCGAGGACCUGCCGGAAGAAUUUACUGGCCAGAGGCCGUGUAGGACGAAUUUUGAUGGCUUUAUUCUGCAGGGCUCUGGCCUAUGAACCUGGCAGUACACAGGUGGCCACGUCUGGACUAGAAAAUAUUGAUGAAAAUCUUGUGCACCACCGGAGGCGAAUGCGAUGCAGGAAACAGAGAAAACAAAGAAGAUGAACGAGAAACUACUCUUCAUUUUGAUUAACAUUAAUUUGACAAUACUAAAAUGCAUAAGAGUAUAACUGACACAUAAAUAGAUAAUAUUAAGCAGUGGUAUGAUAAAAGGAAGAUGGGUGCAUGUACAAACUAAUUAAUGUCAUCAUAAAUAAUUUUAAUAAGGACCAUCCCCCCCUGCUUAAUUUGUUUUCUUUUUGUUUUGGGAUAAAUUGGUAAUUUUCACUUCAUUCCUUGACAGCUGUUGACCUAUUUUUUUUUUCCCUCCCUAAACAAACUAAUUCCAUUGUAAAAACUGAAUCCUAAAAAUCAUCUGAAACACACAACUCCAAUUAUCAUUCGGACCAUAGAAUUUUCUCUUAUUUUGAGCAUCUCUUCCCAUAAUUAACUUGUGGUUCCCCUCUAUCGCAUUCUUCUAUUAUAAAGCAUUUUAGAUGUUACAUUAUAGAAUCAAAAUUACUGAUUAUAUUUACAAUCAGGAAGAGAUAAUAAUGUUGACAACCAAUAUCAAUUCUUUUCCCGAAGAUAUAACGAUUGAAAUUCUGUCAAGAUUGCCAGCUAAAUUUGUUUUGCGAUUCAGGUGCGUUUGCAAGUCCUGGCUUGAGUUAACUAAGAAACCUUCUUUCAUUUCCAAGCAUUUCCAAAACAAUAGUACAAGAACUCGUCUUUUCGUUGAUGCAUCUGUUAGUUCUACGGUAUUUGGUAGGGGAAUCGUUACAUCAGCUUUGUACUUAUUCCAUGAUGAAAAACUUGCAAAUUUAUCAUAUGAAGACAUUAAACCCCAAAUUCAUGAUGUAUUUGUGGGCUAUCAUGAUGGUUUAUUUUGCAUAAUGCAGAGUUCAACGAAUCGUCUAACUAUAUGGAAUCCAGCAACAAGAGAAUUUAGAAACCUUCCAAAUUAUAAAUAUUGUAAUUCUUCCAACAGUGUAAUGUUAUAUAGUACUUUCAUCGGACUUGAAUCUGAUCCCAUAAAUAAUGACUUUAAAUUGCUUUUCGUACACAACUUAUGGAAUGAGAAAAGGAAAAGGUAUGGUAAGGUGCCAAAUGUUCAAGUGUACACAUUCAGAACAAAUAGUUGGAGAGAAUUAUAUGAUCAUCAAUUGGAUCGUUAUUUUGUAUUAGGCGAAGGUCAAUUUGGUAGGUUCACGUACUUGAAGAAAGUUUGUUAUUGGUUGGUAAUCUCGGAUACUCGAGACCUAAAAGUGAUUCUUUCAUUUCACAUGGAUAAUGAGGUGUUUGAAGAAAUAAAAAUACCUCCACAAGUAAAUUAUGACACGUCUAUAAGUUUAUAUAAAGACUCUCUCUCAAUUGUAAUCCCAGAUGCAGAGAAUUGUUUUGAGAUAUGGGUGAUGAAUGACAGUAAGUGUUGGGCAAAAAAUUUUACCCUUGGACCCUUCUUCAAUCUUAAUCUUCCAACAAAUCAUGGAUUCUGGAAGAAUGAUGCCUUUUUUUUAGAAUCAGACAUUAGGACUGAUAACGGUCGCCAUUUUUUACGUUGCCUUUUAUUAUAUGACCAUAGUGCGAAAGAAAUUAAGGAUCUCCAACUCACAGAACCAAGAGAUGUUUUCAUCUAUAAAGAGAGUCUGAUGACUAUACAAUGAGAGGAAAAAUAUUUUAUGAUAAAUUGACCUAUAUGUCAUAAUUUCAGAGUUUUUUUUUUUUUAAUUUUUUUGGUUCAUCAUGAUCAAGAGCAUAAUAGAAAGUAUACGUGGAUGAUUGGUGGUUGGUUCGCUUUACAAUACCUAGGCCUUUGGCAAACUAUAAAUUAGGAUCUUACUUAUUAAUUAUUAGAGUAAAUUUUUGGGGUAAUAUAUACGUAUUAUGUAAAAAUUUGUUGUUUAAUGUUGUCUUUCGUUUUUCUUCGAAUGAGAAAUAACAUGAGUGGUGCUAUAUAUUCUAAUUUUUUAUCCCAAAAAACUAUCUCAAAUGACGUGACAUUCAUCAAUUGUUUGGCCAGAAUAAUACAAUUAAUUCACUUGAAUUUUGCAAAGAAUUACCAACCCAACAAUGAAUAACAUAUUAUUUGAGAUGGAAUUUAGGAUGAAAAUUUUGAGAUGUUUAUCAUUAUUCUUAGUACUAGUCUUUUCAUAUAAAUUUUUUUUUCUUAAAACAAAUAAAAAAUACAAUAUGUUGUACAAAGGAAAAUCACCGGCAACAAGGUCCAAAUAUUCUUAAAAUCGCGAUAAUGCAAUCAAGGCUACAGUCUGAUCCUUAUAAUGAGAAUGCGUGGAGUCCUGUUUACCCUCAAAAUGAAUCACCUAAAGCCUCACGUCAGGUCUACAUCUACAAUAUCUUGGUUGUCACUCACGCUUCAUCAAAUGGAUCUUUUCAUUCAGAGACCUAACUUUCACAAUUUCUUAUUGUUAAUAACAUGUAUCAAGGCGUAUAGUUUAGUCUCUUUCCUUUUUAGUCAAAAUUAUUUUGCAUAUAUAUUUUUGAUAAUAUUUGUAAUGAAGACAAAUCACCCACGAUAAUAUUGUUUGUCAAUAUUAUGUCUUUCUGAUUGUAAAUAUCAGUUGAUGAUAAUUAUGUAAUAUAAUAUUUAAAAUGUUAAUAAAAGAGGAAUGCAAUAGAGGAGAGCCACAAAUUAAUUAUAGGACGAGAUGCUCAAAAUAAGAGAAUUUUACGUGGAGAAUGAUUAUUUGAGUUGUUUGUUUAAGAUGAUGUUUAGGAUUCAAUUUUUAUGAUGGAUUGGUUUAUUUAAAAGGUUAAAAAAAAAAGGUUAUAUGUUGUCAAGUGCUUGGUUCUUUAAGUACAGUAAACAAAAUAACUUACAUUUAUUCACGUUUUCACGAAAUCUCUAACUAAAAGACGGGCGCCAUAUCUACUUUGGUCUGGCUUUAUUGCUCCACCGGCCACCGGUGGUGGUGCAUCGCCACAGUCGGUGUCUUCCCACCUCUCUGGCCAGCCGCCUUCUCACCAACAGCCCCCAACACAGCCACCCUCACCUCCAACCACUCGCUCUAGAUCGCGCAAUACUACCCAAAACUCAAAGCGCACCGCUGCCGUUUUUCCUGCAGUCGGAGAUGCUGCCAAACAACCUCCAUUGCCACCUUUGACCAACCCCCAAGCAAUCUUGCUCUCACUGCCAUCGUAACAGCCCCCAACAUAGCCACAAAACCGUAGCCAUCCCUCGCAUGUUCAGACUCCAAAAAACACCACUUACACACCGUUGCCUCCACCGUUGCCUCACUCCGACCUAGCCCAGCCACUUCUAUUGUCCCAGCUGUUGUAAAUCAGCAAUUUUCCACUGUGGAUUCCAAUUAUGUUGUCAUUGGACCACUUUAUGGACACUAGAACCUUCAAGUCAUGACUACCAUAAACCCAAGCUGCUAUAUAUCUCACCAAGCACUCGCUGCCUCUCUCUUGGCCGCCGCAAGUGGCACCAUAAGCCUAUCGGCCACCACACAAUAGUCACCUUUGCCCUCCCACUCUCACCUACGACCUCUCUCGUCAUCAAACUUUCACAACACAGUGGUUGCUAUUCAAAAUUGUGAUCAGCUGCCACAUCCAACAAACCUUAGAUAUAACUCACAAAACCCUAGCCAACACCCAGUUUCCCAAAACUAGACACAAAACCCAACCUUCCAAGGAAUCCAAAAUCCAACCCUAACCCAUGACCCUUUUCCACCCCUCACUCUUUGGCUGUACUUCCAACCCACCCACUAAAGCCUCUUAUGAAUCUGUUACUAAUCCUGCAGCUAUCCUCAACCCCAAUCCAAUGCUGUUGUUGGAUGAUUUUUAUUGUUAUUGGUGUCAACGUGCAAAUGGACACAACAAGUAAUAUACUGAUGAAUAUUCAGAUUGUCUCCACAAAGAUUGAUGUUAUCAGAUUUGCUACAGUAAUCUUAACAGUGUAAAUUCAAACUAAAUUAAAAUAAGAUAAUUAAUGAAACUAUUGAACUAAAAAAAAUAAAAUUGCAGUAAAUAAAAUGCAAGAAGGAAAAUUUUCAAGCCAAACUCGAGGAUGUAAUCAGUGGGAAAUGAAUAGUUGAGUGAUUAAACUCACUUAAUGAUAUUGAUUGUUUUUCUAAUUAAGAUCUGGUUACUACAACAUCUAUUGCAGUACUGGGUAGAAUCCUUUAUGCAUCUUCGAUUGUCGCUUGUUGGAUAUCUUAUAUUUAAAUGCAAAUUAACAGUGACAAGUUGUUAUGCUAACAUUAGAUAUAACAUUAUGCGUUUUAGAUUCUACUUGCCCUACAAAGUGAAUUCCUAUGUUUAGUUCUUCAUUAAUUUUAGAUUAAGCAUGACCCUAUUCAAAUUAAAAUUAACUCAACUUGGGAAAUCCAAUCUAAAACCAAGUAUUAUCUUAAUUUGCUCUACUAAAUCAGACCUUUUUUAAUCUCCUUCUAAGAUAGUAUCCAUUAAAUGUGUGGUCAAUCGAAAUACAGAAUUGCAAUAAGUAAAAUUAAGAUAAAAUGCUAUAACAAAUACAGAGUAACACAAAUAUAUAAGUUAAUUAACUAUUAAGUUUGUUUGUCACUCAACCAAAAUAAAAUUUAGUUCAUGAUUUGUGAUAAAACAAUAAUAAAAAUAGUUUUAGCCAUUAAAUACAUUCCUAUAAAUAAAUGAAAACAAGAAAAUAAGAAGAUAAAUUAUGUUCUGCUUAGUCUUAGUGAUUUAUCCUCUGUUCUCCUUGAAUCUUUUGUUUUAGCCUUGAAAUCUCUCUUAUCCUCGCGUGUUUAAACUCCAAACAACCCCACCGUUGCUUCAUCUUUUUUGGCCACUGCUAACACCACCCAUAUACCGUUGCCACCACAUUUGCCUCACCCCGUCCCAGCCGCCACUAAACAGUAAUUUUCCACUGUUAGAUUCCCCUUAUGUCGUCAUUGGACCACUUCAUAGACACCAGAAUCUUCAAGCCAUGACUAACGUAAACCUUACCUGCUAUAUAUCUUACCAACCACUCGCUGCCUCUCUCUUGGCUGCUGCUAGUGGCACCAUAAGCCUGCCGGCCCCCACACAGUAGUCACAAUUGCUCUUCCACACUCACCCACGACUUCCCUCCUCAUCAAACUUUAACACAACAAUAGUUGUUAUUCAAAACUGUGAUCAGCCGCCGUAUCCAGCAAACCCUAGCUAUAAAUGACAAAACCCUAGCCAACACCCAGUUUCCCAAACCUAAAAUUAAACACAAAACCCAACCUUCCAGGGAAUCCAAAAUCCAGCCCUAACCCAUUACCCAUUUCCACCCCUCACUUUGGCCUUAUUUCCAACCCACUCAUAAUAGACAUGUAUUGAUUAAGCUUCAGCUUGAAGAUGAUUACUCUCAUAUUUGGGUUAGGCUGACCUAAUAUGUUAGUCGCAGGUCCAUACUCACUUUUAAGUGGUCUACAUCUUUUAAGUGCUCUGAGAAAUAUCUUGUUGUUCCUAUUUGGGAGUCUUUACCUUCUUUACCUAUGUGUUUCACUCAUUGCAAAAAUGCUUUAGAAGCCCAGCAGUGUAUUGGUUAGGUGUUGGAUACAAUUGCUCGUGAUAAAGGUAAAAUGCCUAUUCGUGAUGUUGUUGUGUAGCUUAUAAUGGAUUGUGCUACAUAUGUGGUUGCUAUGGACAAUCUACCACAGGGGCCUACUCUAGCCCAGGGUCAGUCUUUGGGCCUAGUUUCACAUCUCAUUUCCGAUAAAGGUACUUGUUUGGAUGCUCAACCACUUAUUCUAUUGCACAUGGUAUUGUCAAUGUUGUGUCUGAUUCGAUUUCUACUCUACAAACUCAAGAUGAUAAUGGUUUGCGGGAUAAUACUUUUCAGAGAGAUGUUGUUGGUUGUGCUGAGGUCACUAAUCCUCCUGUUUUAAAUAAUCCUAGUGUUCAGAGGGCUUCCAUCAGUUUUACUUUUUUGUCAAACUGCAGUGGUUGAUAUCCGCUCCAUGGUUGUGGGUUUUACUUCCCAUUCUACAUAUAUCGCUUUUCAGUCAGUGAGGAGUUUGGUUCUGAUGAGAAUUUUGUGGCUGAUGAGUAUUUUGCGCCUAAGCCUAAAAGUACUAGGGGCAUGAUCUUAACGCUAACUUUAGUGUUGCUAGCCCAAGUGCGUCUGGUUCUAGGAAAUGUCUCAAAUUAAACACUAGUUGCAAGUAUCGUAAGCGGCUCUCUUAGCAUUCGUAUUAAUUAGUUAUUUGUAAUAUCUUAUUUGUUCUUUUAUCACUUUGUUAUUUUUCCAUUUGUUGGUCGUACUUCUCUUGCCUGGAGGUUUUGGUCUAUGUCCCCCUCCAUAUGUAAUCUUUUUUAAUUUAUUAAUCUACAAGUUAGGGGGUCCCGCCUAACCCCCCACCCUUGGGUGGUUUUUAAUUUUUUAAAAAAGGUGCUUGGUUCUUUAAAUGCUUGGGUGGUAUAAGUUAGUUCAAUGGUUAAAGAGAAUGGGUGUGUUUCAUGGUAGAGUAAGGAAGUUUUGUAAGCGGUUUAGUAAAUAUUAUUUUUUGAACAUGUAUUCAUAUUAUGUGUGUUUAAAGGAUGAACAAAUUUGGAAGUAGAACUGAAAGUAGGGAGUAAAUCAUACCUUAAAGGAGGCUUAUUAGAGAUCAAAGUAGAAGAUUUAUUAUCUGUAAUGGUUGCUAUAUUAAAGGAGUUAACACUUGAAGUUGCAGUAGCACAUGUUGUGUUAAAUAAAGAAGAAGUGUUUGACUUAAACACAUAUCGUGGAGAAAUAGAUGGGCUUACAAUUCUAGAUAGUUGACGAGUUAGAUUAUAAAUGUUAUCAGAAGAAAAAAAUGCAAAAUAAAGUAAAGCAUGCAACAUGAAGCAUGCAACAUGAAACAUGCACAAUAAAAUGGAGCAUGAACCAGGAAGCAUGCAUAGUAAAGUGGAGCAUGGAGCAAUUAGUAUGCAUAGCAAAGUAGAGCAUAGAGCAGGAAGCAUGCAAAGUAAAUUGGAGCAUGGAACAAAAAGCAUGCCAAGUAAAGUAGAGCAUGGAACAAGAAGCAAGCAAUAUGAAGUGAUUGCGAAUCUAGAAAGAAAAACAUAAAAGUUUCGAAAAGUCAAUUUGGGGAAGGAGAUAAAUAUAAAUUUUGAAAAAAAAAACAUUGACAAAGUAGUGAAAGCUUACUAGAAUAAAAAGACAUUAAUGACUUAAAUAUCCAAAAUUGUAUUAUAAAUAGAGGGGCCCUUAAAGCAUGGGGAGGACACAAGCGAAUUCACAGGCAAAUACCUAAAAAAAUAACUUAUUGUGAUUGUCUAUCUUGAGAUUUAUUAAUAAGAAUAAAUGAUGUAAGGUUUCAUUCAAAUUUUACCCUUGUAUUUUCAUGGGUAAUUUUUGGGAUGUUACAAAUAACGUCAACAAUAGGAUUUUAAAGAAGAGGAAACAAACGACCAUUUUGAAAGUGUAAGAUCAUUGACUUUGUCUCUUAAUUUAUAGGAUAAUAAGAUGGAAAGCGGUCUUAUACAAAUUUCACAUGCUGAGUAUGAAAGAUUUGGUUAUUUGUAAUCAAAGUAGAUAUAUAAAUUGUAAUAAUGAUAGAAUUUCAACUUAAGUAUCAAUGCUAAUAAUCUCACUCAUCCAUUGGAUAAUACAUUUCAUAACUUACAAAAUUACUGAACCACCAUUCAAUGGAUGAAUGCCUCAUUAAUCGGAAAUUGGGGCUCAAAUUAGGACUUAAAUGUUGGGAUGCCUAAUAUUGCUCUAUGUAUUGUGAACGUUGGAAUAUCCUAAAAACAUUGACUUAGGAGUGUUUAGAGACUUAUCAUGUUUGGAGGUUAGCAAUGAAAAUGAAUGUGAACAUUUGGAAAGGAUAGUCAAAGUGGGAAGCAAAAGUCAAAAUUAACAGCCCAUUUGUUUGAAUUAACUGUACUGUUAUAGAAAUAGGUAAAUAAUGUAUAAUAUAUGGUUAAAAAGAUAAUUUUGCCUAGUUUUUAGGAAUUUUACGGAAUCCAAUUUGGACUUCUCUUCUUAAAGAAAUUCAAGAUUUAGUUAGGAACUGUCACAGUUGUCAAAAUUUUGCAUAAGGCCGCAAGUUCUGAAUUUACUGGCAUCAAUGCAUCAAGUUCUAUCCAACAAGCUUCAUAUCUCUGAAAGCUCUUUGACUUAAGAGUUUAAUAAAUUUUACAAUGUUUGAUUUGGAGUUUUCUAUAAAUGAGUAUUGACUGCUCACAUUUGUUGAUCAAACAGACUUAGUAGUCAAAUUGAGAUUUACUUUGCUCUUUUCCACCUCAUGGCAGCUAAGACUUUUAAUUCAAGUUUGAUUUGAAUUCUAGAUAAUAGAAAUAUUAUCCUAAGUUUGGAGGGA
Molecule: long non-coding RNA, 20251 nt
Filed under: Citrus x clementina
Lineage: Eukaryota; Viridiplantae; Streptophyta; Magnoliopsida; Sapindales; Rutaceae
Description: Citrus clementina (C. clementina) long non-coding RNA (CCLE_LNC002386)
Source: RNAcentral